GUGAGGUAACGGCUCACCAAGGCAUCGACGGGUAGCUGGUCUGAGAGGAUGAUCAGCCACACUGGGACUGAGACACGGCCCAGACUCCUACGGGAGGCAGCAGUGGGGAAUAUUGCACAAUGGGCGCAAGCCUGAUGCAGCGAUGCCGCGUGCGGGAUGAAGGCCCUAGGGUUGUAAACCGCUUUCAGUAGGGAAGAAAAUGACGGUACCUACAGAAGAAGGUGCGGCCAACUACGUGCCAGCAGCCGCGGUGACACGUAGGCACCAAGCGUUGUCCGGAUUUAUUGGGCGUAAAGAGCUCGUAGGCGGUUCAGUUAGUCGGGUGUGAAAACUCUGGGCUCAACCCAGAGACGCCACCCGAUACUGCUGUGACUUGAGUACGGUAGGGGAGUGGGGAAUUCCUGGUGUAGCGGUGAAAUGCGCAGAUAUCAGGAGGAACACCAGUGGCGAAGGCGCCACUCUGGGCCGUAACUGACGCUGAGGAGCGAAAGCAUGGGUAGCAAACAGGAUUAGAUACCCUGGUAGUCCAUGCCGUAAACGUUGGGCACUAGGUGUGGGUCUCAACCAACGAGAUCCGCGCCGUCGCUAACGCAUUAAGUG
This 600-nucleotide ribosomal RNA is filed under the name uncultured Actinomycetes bacterium. RNAcentral's name for it is "bacterial SSU rRNA". It matches the Rfam family "Bacterial small subunit ribosomal RNA", at positions 252 to 866 of the family's 1533-position model. Lineage: Bacteria; Bacillati; Actinomycetota; Actinomycetes. The record is from RNAcentral.